This 438-nucleotide ribosomal RNA is filed under the name uncultured bacterium. RNAcentral describes it as "bacterial SSU rRNA". It matches the Rfam family "Bacterial small subunit ribosomal RNA", at positions 954 to 1392 of the family's 1533-position model. The record is from RNAcentral.
GCAUAACGCGAAGAACCUUACCAAGGCUUGACAUACACGAGAACGCUGCAGAAAUGUAGAACUCUUUGGACACUCGUGAACAGGUGGUGCAUGGUUGUCGUCAGCUCGUGUCGUGAGAUGUUGGGUUAAGUCCCGCAACGAGCGCAACCCUCGUUCUAUGUUGCCAGCACGUAAUGGUGGGAACUCAUGGGAUACUGCCGGGGUCAACUCGGAGGAAGGUGGGGAUGACGUCAAAUCAUCAUGCCCCUUAUGUCUUGGGCUUCACGCAUGCUACAAUGGCCGGUACAAAGGGCUGCGAUACCGUAAGGUGGAGCGAAUCCCAAAAGCCGGUCCCAGUUCGGAUUGAGGUCUGCAACUCGACCUCAUGAAGUCGGAGUCGCUAGUAAUCGCAGAUCAGCAACGCUGCGGUGAAUACGUUCCCGGGUCUUGUACACACCG